AGCGCUGCAACCUGGAACUUGUAGUUUCUCACGCCGAGUCUUAAAGAGUCUGGUAAUUUUGGAGGUUGUCCCUACCCCUCCUUUGCGGGUAAGCCUAGACGUAGCAGACGUCCGCAGAAGAAAGGUCGGAAAGUGGGGGUGCGGUUUCUAUGCUAACAAGACCGUGCUCUUUAUGAAGCACUUUCUGUCUUUUGUGAAAAGUUGCAGAGCUUAUUGAAGAGCAUCUCGGCAGCUCGCGAAAUCGCUGGCCUCAUUUCCUCUCUUCCCGGUACUUUUCAGUGUUUACUGAAAGCAACCACGCCCCCCACCCCCACUCGGAGGCCUUCACCCGUCGCCUGUCUCCCUCCCAGGGAAUCAUUCACAGAAACUACGGCCACCAGUACUCAAUUCUGACACCAUCUUUGUCAUUUCACGCCCCCUCUGCCUCUCCUUCUGUUCUCUCUCCCGCUGUCUCCUCGGCGCACUAUCUCCCCACUCUUCCCAUCUGCCUAUCCUUUUUACAGAUCUUACCUCCACUUAAGAUGGGGUUCUAUCCUGAGAACUCAUGGUGAUCUGGAAUCUUAGUUCCCCAACUGGGGAUAGAACUGGCAGUCCUUGCAUUGGAAGCACAGAGUCUUAAACCACUGGACCCCCCAGGAGAGUCAAGAGACGUUAAAAGGGUUGCCUUCACUAUGUGUUAGGGGAAGCACACUGGCUGAAACUGCCCACCCUGGCCAGGCACUAUAGUAACCAUUUGUGUGAGCUGUUUUAUGACAUGAGGUCCUGGUAAGGAACGUGGAACUAACAAGCCACCACAACCAGAAGAGUUGGGGAAAAGUCAGGAGACACCACACGUCUGACCACUUCCCAGAGUCCUUCUUCCUGGCAUCCAUCUUACUUGAGCAAUGCCUGAGCCACCAGGAAGGACCUUGAGUCAGAAUGAUUGGCCAAAGACAACCUGUAAAUUUAUCCUAUCACCUUAAAACCCCAGACUGUGAGCCACAUGGCAGAGCAGUUCUGGGUUUCCUUACCCUACUGCU
This is a long non-coding RNA of Bubalus bubalis (water buffalo), 1019 nucleotides long. RefSeq lists it as uncharacterized. The record is from RefSeq and is a predicted model, not a curated record. The transcript has 3 exons. NCBI's taxonomy places the organism in Eukaryota, Metazoa, Chordata, Mammalia, Artiodactyla, Bovidae.